RNAcentral lists this ribosomal RNA (429 nucleotides) under Bacteroidota bacterium. Its description in RNAcentral is "Bacteroidetes bacterium partial 16S ribosomal RNA". It matches the Rfam family "Bacterial small subunit ribosomal RNA", at positions 355 to 776 of the family's 1533-position model. Lineage: Bacteria; Pseudomonadati; Bacteroidota. The record is from RNAcentral.
UAGGGAAUCUUCGGCAAUGGGGGGAACCCUGACCGAGCAACGCCGCGUGAGUGAAGAAGGUUUUCGGAUCGUAAAGCUCUGUUGUUAAGGAAGAACGAGUGUGGGAAUGGAAAGUUCAUGCUGUGACGGUACUUAACCAGAAAGGGACGGCUAACUACGUGCCAGCAGCCGCGGUAAUACGUAGGUCCCGAGCGUUGUCCGGAUUUAUUGGGCGUAAAGCGAGCGCAGGCGGUUAGAAAAGUCUGAAGUUAAAGGCAGUGGCUCAACCAUUGUAGGCUUUGGAAACUGUUUAACUUGAGUGCAGAAGGGGAGAGUGGAAUUCCAUGUGUAGCGGUGAAAUGCGUAGAUAUAUGGAGGAACACCGGUGGCGAAAGCGGCUCUCUGGUCUGUAACUGACGCUGAGGCUCGAAAGCGUGGGGAGCGAACAGG